RNAcentral lists this ribosomal RNA (408 nucleotides) under uncultured bacterium. RNAcentral's name for it is "partial 16S ribosomal RNA". It matches the Rfam family "Bacterial small subunit ribosomal RNA", at positions 28 to 526 of the family's 1533-position model. The record is from RNAcentral.
GACGAACGCUGGCGGCGUGCUUAACACAUGCAAGUCGAACGAAGUGGCGAACGGGUGAGGAAUACGAGGGUAACCUGCACUCCUUUUUGGGAUAAGCCUUGGAAACGUGAUCUAAUACCGACUAAAGGGGGAUGGGCUCGCGGCCUAUCAGCUUGUUGGUGGGGUGAUGGCCUACCAAGGCGGUGACGGGUAGCCGGCCUGUGAGGGUGACCGGACACAUUGGGACGGCUAGAAGGCCCAGAUGACUACGGGGGGGAGAAUGGGGGGAUAUUGCACAAUGGGCGAAAGCCUGAUGCAGCGACGCCGCGGGGGGGAUGAAGGCUUUCGAGUUGUAAAACUCUUUGGGUAUCGAACCGGGAGGUGGAGAAGAAGCGCCGGCUAACUACGUGCCAGCAGCCGCGGUAAUUC